AUUGAACGCUGGCGGCAGGCUUAACACAUGCAAGUCGAGCGGAUGAAGGGAGCUUGCUCCUGGAUUCAGCGGCGGACGGGUGAGUAAUGCCUAGGAAUCUGCCUGGUAGUGGGGGAUAACGUCCGGAAACGGGCGCUAAUACCGCAUACGUCCUGAGGGAGAAAGUGGGUGAUCUUCGGACCUCACGCUAUCAGAUGAGCCUAGGUCGGAUUAGCUAGUUGGUGGGGUAAAGGCCUACCAAGGCGACGAUCCGUAACUGGUCUGAGAGGAUGAUCAGUCACACUGGAACUGAGACACGGUCCAGACUCCUACAGGAGGCAGCAGUGGGGAAUAUUGGACAAUGGGCGAAAGCCUGAUCCAGCCAUGCCGCGUGUGUGAAGAAGGUCUUCGGAUUGGAAAGCACUUUAAGUUGGGAGGAAGGGCAGUAAGUUAAUACCUUGCUGUUUUGACGUUACCAACAGAAUAAGCACCGGCUAACUUCGUG
RNAcentral lists this ribosomal RNA (484 nucleotides) under uncultured bacterium. Its description in RNAcentral is "partial 16S ribosomal RNA". It matches the Rfam family "Bacterial small subunit ribosomal RNA", at positions 30 to 507 of the family's 1533-position model. The record is from RNAcentral.